RNAcentral lists this small RNA (3479 nucleotides) under Pan troglodytes (chimpanzee). Its description in RNAcentral is "retained intron". Lineage: Eukaryota; Metazoa; Chordata; Mammalia; Primates; Hominidae. The record is from RNAcentral.
ACUAGACGCUUGAAGCAAAGCUGCCAUCCCAGAAGACGACAUGCUCUCAGCAACCCCCCUGUAUGGGAACGUUCACAGCUGGAUGAACAGCGAGAGGGUCCGCAUGUGUGGGGCGAGCGAAGACAGGAAAAUCCUUGUAAAUGAUGGUGACGCUUCAAAAGCCAGACUGGAACUGAGGGAAGAGAAUCCCUUGAACCACAACGUGGUGGAUGCGAGCACGGCCCAUAGGAUCGAUGGCCUGGCAGCACUGAGCAUGGACCGCACUGGCCUGAUCCGGGAAGGGCUGCGGGUCCCCGGAAACAUCGUCUAUUCUAGCUUGUGUGGACUGGGCUCAGAGAAAGGUCGGGAGGCUGCCACAAGCACUCUAGGUGGCCUUGGGUUUUCUUCGGAAAGAAAUCCAGAGAUGCAGUUCAAACCGAAUACACCCGAGACAGUGGAGGCUUCUGCCGUCUCUGGAAAACCCCCAAAUGGCUUCAGUGCUAUGUACAAAACACCGCCUGGAAUACAAAAAAGUGCUGUAGCCACAGCAGAAGCGCUGGGCUUGGACAGGCCUGCCAGCGACAAACAGAGCCCUCUCAACAUCAAUGGUGCUAGUUAUCUGCGGCUGCCCUGGGUCAAUCCUUACAUGGAGGGUGCCACGCCAGCCAUCUACCCUUUCCUCGACUCGCCAAAUAAGUAUUCACUGAACAUGUACAAGGCCUUGCUACCUCAGCAGUCCUACAGCUUGGCCCAGCCGCUGUAUUCUCCAGUCUGCACCAAUGGGGAGCGCUUUCUCUACCUGCCGCCACCCCACUACGUUGGUCCCCACAUCCCAUCGUCCUUGGCAUCACCCAUGAGGCUCUCGACACCUUCGGCCUCCCCAGCCAUCCCGCCUCUCGUCCAUUGCGCAGACAAAAGCCUCCCGUGGAAGAUGGGCGUCAGCCCUGGGAAUCCUGUUGAUUCCCACGCCUAUCCUCACAUCCAGAACAGUAAGCAGCCCAGGGUUCCCUCUGCCAAGGCGGUCACCAGUGGCCUGCCGGGGGACACAGCUCUCCUGUUGCCCCCCUCGCCUCGGCCGUCACCCCGAGUCCACCUUCCCACCCAGCCUGCUGCAGACACCUACUCGGAGUUCCACAAGCACUAUGCCAGGAUCUCCACCUCUCCUUCAGUUGCCCUGUCAAAGCCAUACAUGACAGUUAGCAGCGAGUUCCCCGCGGCCAGGCUCUCCAAUGGCAAGUAUCCCAAGGCUCCGGAAGGGGGCGAAGGUGCCCAGCCAGUGCCCGGGCAUGCCCGGAAGACAGCGGUUCAAGACAGAAAAGACGGCAGCUCACCACCUCUGUUGGAGAAGCAGACCGUUACCAAAGACGUCACAGAUAAGCCACUAGACUUGUCUUCUAAAGUGGUGGAUGUAGAUGCUUCCAAAGCUGACCACAUGAAAAAGAUGGCUCCCACGGUCCUGGUUCACAGCAGGGCUGGAAGUGGCUUAGUGCUCUCCGGAAGUGAGAUUCCGAAAGAAACACUAUCUCCUCCAGGAAAUGGUUGUGCUAUCUAUAGAUCUGAAAUCAUCAGCACUGCUCCCUCAUCCUGGGUGGUGCCCGGGCCAAGUCCUAACGAAGAGAACAAUGGCAAAAGCAUGUCGCUGAAAAACAAGGCAUUGGACUGGGCGAUACCACAGCAGCGGAGUUCAUCAUGCCCGCGCAUGGGCGGCACCGAUGCUGUCAUCACUAACGUUUCAGGGUCAGUGUCGAGUGCGGGCCGCCCAGCCUCCGCAUCACCCGCCCCCAAUGCCAAUGCAGAUGGCACCAAAACCAGCAGGAGCUCUGUAGAAACCACACCAUCCGUUAUUCAGCACGUGGGCCAGCCCCCGGCCACUCCUGCCAAGCACAGUAGCAGCACCAGCAGCAAGGGCGCCAAAGCCAGCAACCCAGAACCGAGUUUCAAAGCAAACGAGAACGGCCUUCCACCAAGCUCUAUAUUUCUGUCUCCAAAUGAUGCAUUCAGGUCCCCACCAAUUCCCUACCCCAGGAGUUACCUCCCUUACCCAGCCCCCGAGGGCAUUGCUGUAAGUCCCCUCUCCUUACAUGGCAAAGGACCUGUCUACCCUCACCCAGUUUUGUUACCCAAUGGCAGUCUGUUUCCUGGGCACCUUGCCCCAAAGCCUGGGCUGCCCUAUGGGCUUCCCACCGGCCGUCCAGAGUUUGUGACCUACCAAGAUGCCCUGGGGUUGGGCAUGGUGCAUCCCAUGUUGAUACCACACACGCCCAUAGAGAUCACUAAAGAGGAGAAACCAGAGAGGAGAUCCCGGUCCCAUGAGAGAGCCCGUUACGAGGACCCAACCCUCCGGAAUCGGUUUUCCGAGAUUUUGGAAACUAGCAGCACCAAGUUACAUCCAGAUGUCCCCACCGACAAGAACCUAAAGCCGAACCCCAACUGGAAUCAAGGGAAGACUGUUGUCAAAAGCGACAAGCUUGUCUACGUAGACCUUCUCCGAGAAGAACCAGAUGCUAAAACUGACACAAACGUGUCCAAACCCAGCUUUGCAGCAGAGAGUGUUGGCCAGAGCGCUGAGCCCCCCAAGCCCUCAGUUGAGCCGGCCCUGCAGCAGCACCGUGAUUUCAUCGCCCUGAGAGAGGAGUUGGGGCGCAUCAGUGACUUCCACGAAACUUAUACUUUCAAACAGCCAGUCUUCACCGUAAGCAAGGACAGUGUUCUGGCAGGUACCAACAAAGAGAACCUAGGGUUGCCAGUCUCGACUCCAUUCCUGGAGCCACCUCUGGGGAGCGAUGGCCCUGCUGUAACUUUUGGUAAAACCCAAGAGGAUCCCAAACCAUUUUGUGUGGGCAGUGCCCCACCAAGUGUGGAUGUGACCCCCACCUAUACCAAAGAUGGAGCUGAUGAGGCUGAAUCAAAUGAUGGCAAAGUUCUGAAACCGAAGCCAUCUAAGCUGGCAAAGAGAAUCGCCAACUCAGCGGGUUACGUGGGUGACCGAUUCAAAUGUGUCACUACCGAACUGUAUGCAGAUUCCAGUCAGCUCAGCCGGGAGCAACGGGCAUUGCAGGUGAGCCCCCCCACCUGAAUUUCAGUUACUUUACCAGUUGUCAGUUUUUUAAUGUGUAAACAGGAUUGGGGGAGUAUGGUAGGGCAGGGCACCAGGCAGAUUUGGUGAAUGAAGCUUGUGGUAAUUUGAAUGUAUGCAAUGUGGCCAGUAAGAGAACGUGAGUGGUAGCACUGAGGCGUGUCUGGAUGCUUUAAGUUAUUCUGUAGAUUAUAAGGGAACUCCACUCAAUUGCUGAUAACCGAUGUUUUAAUUAUUGUGAAGGGUAUCUAAAGACUGCAUGACGUUUACCUAUCAAUUGCUUUGAUUUCUCUGCCUGUAAGAUAGCAAAUAUACCUAGAAGUGCUGCUUAGAAUGCCUUACUUGAUACCUGGUAGAGAUGUGUAGCAGCCGCAUGUCUGUGGGAUUCAUGCAAAUUUUUCACCAAAAAGAAAGGAAAAAAAAA